GCCUUCGUGGUGUAGUGGUCAGCACGCUCGACGCGUAUUCGAGAGGUCAGCGGUUCGAGUCUCGGCGAGGGCA
This is a non-coding RNA of Stegodyphus mimosarum, 73 nucleotides long. NCBI's taxonomy places the organism in Eukaryota, Metazoa, Arthropoda, Arachnida, Araneae, Eresidae. The record is from Rfam.